AUUGAACGCUGGCGGCAGGCCUAACACAUGCAAGUCGAGCGGAUGAAGGGAGCUUUCUCCUGGAUUCAGCGGCGGACGGGUGAGUAAUGCCUAGGAAUCUGCCUGGUAGUGGGGGAUAACGUCCGGAAACGGGCGCUAAUACCGCAUACGUCCUGAGGGAGAAAGUGGGGGAUCUUCGGACCUCACGCUAUCAGAUGAGCCUAGGUCGGAUUAGCUAGUUGGUGGGGUAAAGGCCUACCAAGGCGACGAUCCGUAACUGGUCUGAGAGGAUGAUCAGUCAGACUGGAACUGAGACACGGUCCAGACUCCUACGGGAGGCAGCAGUGGGGAAUAUUGGACAAUGGGCGAAAGCCUGAUCCAGCCAUGCCGCGGGUGUGAAGAAGGUCUUCGGAUUGUAAAGCACUUUAAGUUGGGAGGAAGGGCAGUAAGUUAAUACCUUGCUGUUUUGACGUUACAAACAGAAUAAGCACCGGCUAACUUCGUG
This 484-nucleotide ribosomal RNA is filed under the name uncultured bacterium. RNAcentral's name for it is "partial 16S ribosomal RNA". It matches the Rfam family "Bacterial small subunit ribosomal RNA", at positions 30 to 507 of the family's 1533-position model. The record is from RNAcentral.